CGAGACUUGUCUCAGGGAGGGGGAGAAAAAAAACAACAAAAAAAGCAGAGGCUAACAGGUAACUCCGAGGAUGACAGAAAACACCAGAGUUUUUAAGAGAUGUUAGAAGCCCUGGGAGCAGUGAACAAACCAGAAAGCUCCCGAUGCUUGAUCCCUGAGCUCCACCUAGCAAGUACCGCGGCAGCUAACCUGGGAGACCACCCCAACCAACAGAGACUGAAAUUCGCCCCCCAAGAGAGGAAGUGGAUAGUUCUAAGCUGUCCCCAAACAUGACCUCACAAACGAAAACUAACCGUUGCGAACGGAAACAACUGACCGGACAGAACACAGCCAGAAAACACGAGCCCGCACCCUGAAUUACAAAAACACUUAGGGCUCACCUACUAUUCACACCACAAAAGCACCAGGGUAAAGCGCGAACGUAGUCCCCCACUACCACAAAUUAUGCAAUUGAGUUUCCCACAUUUGGGGAAAUCGCAGGGGUCAGCACAUACAGAGUACUAUGGAUAAGCCUCGCCCUGGGAAAAACACCUUCGUGAUCGCGAUAUCUCCCCUGCCAGGAACUCCUUCGUGGUGAAGCAGCAGCCCCUGCUCUGCCUCAUCUACAUAGAAAUCGCCCUAUCCGUGAUGUCACCGACAGCGCCUUUCCCAGUCCCCGUCUGCUCUU
Molecule: long non-coding RNA, 667 nt
Filed under: Pan troglodytes (chimpanzee)
Lineage: Eukaryota; Metazoa; Chordata; Mammalia; Primates; Hominidae
Description: long non-coding RNA NONPTRT008781
Source: RNAcentral